UUGGAAUCUUUAUACAUCUGGUUUUAUAAAGGUGGUGCCUUCUCCUAUUGGUUGUCGUAUUUACACAGCUUGAGAAUGCUCAUCCUUGAGACUUGCACGGAAUGUGGGGUUUUGCCUCCUUUAGGGAAACUGGCGUCCCUUUAAUCAUUGCAUAUUGUGCAACUCCAUGGAGUCUCAAAGGUAGGAGUUGAGUUUUUGGGAAUAGAUGAUGGGCAAACCUCCUCCUCCUCGUCUUCCAUUUUCAUAUCAUUCCCCAAGCUUAAACAACUCGGCUUCUACAACAUGGGGGCAUGGGAAGAGUGGGUAGGAGUGGAAAAUAAUAAUAUUACAAUCAUGCCAUGCCUCUCUCAAUUGACAAUUGGGUACUGCUACAAGCUAAAAGCACUGCCGGACUUCCUGUGGGAGACACCACUACAGAAAUUGCACAUCUUUAGAUCUCCAAUUCUCCAAGACCUUUACAGACAAGGAAUAAGUGAGAAGUGGGCCAAGAUCCCAACCAUCGUGAUAGAAGACUAAUCUGGAUGACGCAUCUCAAAGGCUUCAGCUUCUCUUGAAACAAGCACAGUUCUCUAUCAUUCGUCAUAUUUCAACCUGGGAUGCAUGUCCAAUGGAAGUCAAUAUUGGAGCUAGGGGACAAGGAAACAUCAAUUGAGCAUCAGGCCUUGUCUUCCCC
Molecule: long non-coding RNA, 673 nt
Organism: Rosa chinensis
Lineage: Eukaryota; Viridiplantae; Streptophyta; Magnoliopsida; Rosales; Rosaceae
Exons: 3
Source: RefSeq, a predicted model, not a curated record